RNAcentral lists this ribosomal RNA (492 nucleotides) under uncultured bacterium. Its description in RNAcentral is "partial 16S ribosomal RNA". It matches the Rfam family "Bacterial small subunit ribosomal RNA", at positions 29 to 507 of the family's 1533-position model. The record is from RNAcentral.
AGUGAACGCUGGCGGUAGGCCUAACACAUGCAAGUCGAACGGAAGCACAGUAAGAGCUUGCUCCUAAGGGUGGCGAGUGGCGGACGGGUGAGGAAUACAUCGGAAUCUACUAUUUCGUGGGGGAUAACGUGGGGAAACUUACGCUAAUACAGCAUACGACCUACGGGAGAAAGCAGGGGAUAUUCGGACCUUGCGCGACAGAAUGAGACGAAGUCGGAUUAGCUAGUUGGCGGGGUAAAGGCACACCAAGGCAACGAUGCGUAGCUGGUCUGAGAGGAUGAUCAGCCACACUGGAACUGAGACACGGUCCAGACUCCUACGGGAGGCAGCAGUGGGGAAUAUUGGACAAUGGGCGCAAGCCUGAUCCAGCCAUACCGCGUGGGUGAAGAAGGCCUUCGGGUUGUAAAGCCCUUUUGUUGGGAAAGAAAAGCAGCAGGUGAAUACCCCGCUGUUCUGACGGUACCCAAAGAAUAAGCACCGGCUAACUUCGUG